AGUGCCCGAGUUGUAAUUUGUAGAAUUUGUCUUUGAUUAGGUCCUUGUCUAUGUUCCUUGGAACAGGACGUCAUAGAGGGUGAGAAUCCCGUUUGGCGAGGAUACCUUUUCUCUGUAAGACUUUUUCGAAGAGUCGAGUUGUUUGGGAAUGCAGCUCAAAGUGGGUGGUAAAUUCCAUCUAAAGCUAAAUAUUGGCGAGAGACCGAUAGCGAACAAGUACAGUGAUGGAAAGAUGAAAAGAACUUUGAAAAGAGAGUGAAAAAGUACGUGAAAUUGUUGAAAGGGAAGGGCAUUUGAUCAGACAUGGUGUUUUUUGCAUGCACUCGCCUCUCGUGGGCUUGGGCCUCUCAAAAAUUUCACUGGGCCAACAUCAAUUCUGGCAGCAGGAUAAAUCAUUAAGAAUGUAGCUACUUCGGUAGUGUUAUAGCUUUUUGGAAUACUGUUAGCCGGGAUUGAGGACUGCGCUUCGGCAAGGAUGUUG
RNAcentral lists this ribosomal RNA (481 nucleotides) under Hanseniaspora uvarum. Its description in RNAcentral is "eukaryotic LSU rRNA". It matches the Rfam family "Eukaryotic large subunit ribosomal RNA", at positions 133 to 628 of the family's 3401-position model. Lineage: Eukaryota; Fungi; Ascomycota; Saccharomycetes; Saccharomycodales; Saccharomycodaceae. The record is from RNAcentral.